GAAGUGUUAGUAAAUUAUUACAUCACCUUGUCAAGGUGAAGUAGCUGACUGACCCUCAGCACAUUUCU
RNAcentral lists this transfer RNA (68 nucleotides) under Megophrys shapingensis (Shaping frog). Its description in RNAcentral is "Atympanophrys shapingensis (Shaping frog) tRNA-Asp". The record is from RNAcentral. RNAcentral also lists the same sequence under 1 other name. Lineage: Eukaryota; Metazoa; Chordata; Amphibia; Anura; Megophryidae.